This 413-nucleotide ribosomal RNA is filed under the name uncultured Bacillota bacterium. RNAcentral's name for it is "bacterial SSU rRNA". It matches the Rfam family "Bacterial small subunit ribosomal RNA", at positions 945 to 1359 of the family's 1533-position model. Lineage: Bacteria; Bacillati; Bacillota. The record is from RNAcentral.
UUUAAUUCGAAGCAACGCGAAGAACCUUACCAGGCCUUGACAUCCCUCUGACCGCUCUAGAGAUAGAGCUUUCCUUCGGGACAGAGGUGACAGGUGGUGCAUGGUUGUCGUCAGCUCGUGUCGUGAGAUGUUGGGUUAAGUCCCGCAACGAGCGCAACCCCUAUUGUUAGUUGCCAUCAUUCAGUUGGGCACUCUAGCGAGACUGCCGGUAAUAAACCGGAGGAAGGUGGGGAUGACGUCAAAUCAUCAUGCCCCUUAUGACCUGGGCUACACACGUGCUACAAUGGCUGGUACAACGAGUCGCAAGCCGGUGACGGCAAGCUAAUCUCUUAAAGCCAGUCUCAGUUCGGAUUGUAGGCUGCAACUCGCCUACAUGAAGUCGGAAUCGCUAGUAAUCGCGGAUCAGCACGCCG